This 76-nucleotide transfer RNA is filed under the name Rickettsiales bacterium. Its description in RNAcentral is "tRNA-Pro". It matches the Rfam family "tRNA". Rfam says of the family: Transfer RNA (tRNA) molecules are approximately 80 nucleotides in length. Their secondary structure includes four short double-helical elements and three loops (D, anti-codon, and T loops). Lineage: Bacteria; Pseudomonadati; Pseudomonadota; Alphaproteobacteria; Rickettsiales. The record is from RNAcentral.
CAGGAUAUAGCGCAGUUGGUAGCGCGGUUGCUUCGGGAGCAACAGGUCGUGAGUUCGAGUCUCAUUAUCCUGACCA